Molecule: long non-coding RNA, 1030 nt
Organism: Mercenaria mercenaria
Lineage: Eukaryota; Metazoa; Mollusca; Bivalvia; Venerida; Veneridae
Exons: 3
Source: RefSeq, a predicted model, not a curated record
CGCUUUCACUAACGUUCUCAAAGUGAGGAAAUUCUCAGCUCAAGAUUUUCUCAGAACUGUCUGAGAAUUGUCUCAGCUGAGAAAUUUCUCAAGUUGGCUUUCACUAAACUUUUUCUCAAGUCUUGAGAUUUUUCUCAGCUGAGCCGUAAUUUUUUAAAACAUAAGCGGCCAAACAUCCAAGGAGCCGCGUGAACUUUCCCACAAACACGAGUGCAUAGUUGGGGGCAGUGGAAUUAUUCAUUUAUUGAGACGAAACGAAGCGUUGAGAAAUGUUCAUAAACAACAUGUACAGUUUCGGGAUAUAUCCAAAUUGUGUUUGUACAAAGGUCAUAGCCUGCUGAUGAAGAUCCUCAGCUUAUUAUACAGAGGUCAGGCUUGAGCUAUGUGCUGAUUCAAAAGAUGCUAAUGACAGUGGAUAAUCCAUUCUGAGUUGUUCUAGGAUCAUUCACCAACGUUUCAAAACACUGAUGGAAUUGAAGGCAGUACAUAUACUGAUGUCUGGCCUGUGAUUUCAAGUAUAGACUAUAAUUGAUGUACCUCCUCCUGAUGUAUCUCCAUGAAAAAAUAUAUCUGCCAUGUGAAAGGAGCAAGCUGCAAGAUAUACUGUGGAAGUGGGGGCCUACGUAAAAAACAUUUUAUUUAAAGAAUAUAAGAAAUCUGACACUAAACUACUGAAAAGGUGCACAGGGGACAUUUUUGUGUGUAUAGACUUUCAUCAAGAUUCUGAGAAAGUUGAUUUAUUAAACAGAAAUAGUCAUAUUGUGUCUUCAAAGCUGAAAAAGAUUAAGAUCUUAGGAAACAUUAGGACUCAAGAAAAGUAAUGGGGUAAUGAAACUGCAGUGUUCAACAUUUAAAUUGUUUUUUGUUUUUUUUUCACUACAUUUUGUGAAGAGGGUUCCAUCACAAGAUGUGACAUAUUGGUAAGAAUGAGAUGUAGUUUAUGCAAAAAAGUAUUUUGCUUUAAAUGUGUAGACUUUAAGUUACAUAAAAAAUCAAAGCUGUAACAAUAAAGCUUGAUUUAAAAAAACUA